This is a non-coding RNA of Triticum aestivum (bread wheat), 133 nucleotides long. The record is from Rfam. NCBI's taxonomy places the organism in Eukaryota, Viridiplantae, Streptophyta, Magnoliopsida, Poales, Poaceae.
AUACUACUCCCUUCGUCCGGAAAUACUUGUCAUUAAAAUGAAUAAAAAAGGAUGUAUCUAGAUGUAUUUUAGUUAUAGAUACAUUUUUUUUUUCAUCUUGAUGAUAAGUAUUUUCAGAUGAAGGGAGUAUGUC